CCAAAUAGACUGAAGGCUGUUUAUAAGUUCUGGAUU
RNAcentral lists this non-coding RNA (36 nucleotides) under Geobacter sulfurreducens PCA. The record is from RNAcentral. Lineage: Bacteria; Pseudomonadati; Thermodesulfobacteriota; Desulfuromonadia; Geobacterales; Geobacteraceae.